Long non-coding RNA from Vicia villosa (hairy vetch), 1436 nucleotides. RefSeq lists it as uncharacterized. The transcript is spliced from 10 exons. Lineage: Eukaryota; Viridiplantae; Streptophyta; Magnoliopsida; Fabales; Fabaceae. The record is from RefSeq and is a predicted model, not a curated record.
UUCUCCAUCCAUCUCAUUUAAAAAUACCUAUUUUCCCUCACUUUUCUCUUUCUUUCUCCUCCUCUCUCCCGAAACCCUAGCACUUUAGAAUAGCAUAUUCUCCCUUCAAGAUCCUCCUUUCUCUCACAUCAGAUUUGUUCUCUCUCCAUACCCAACCAAGACCUGUCCUUCCAUCUUCCUCUUAAGCUUUCAACAUCCUUGCACUAAGAUUGAAACAAAGAUGGUCGAACGGGAAGAAAAUAGUAGAAAAAUGUUGUUGUUUAUAAUGUUUAAAUCAAAUCGGAAGACUCUGUGUUUCAUCAUACGUGUUCGAUGAAAGGUCUCCGCCGAAAAUGCCUCUCUGUGCUUUCUGUGUAUUCCUGUUUGCAGGAAGAAGCGAUAGAGAAAAGGAGAGCAAUGAUGCACCAGGAUCUCGAAAACCUGUGAAACGAAAGUGUGACAAAUUGAGUUAUAGUUUUCUCUUUGUCUAAGUCUGUAACUUACAGUGAUGGUUGCUUCUCUCUACUGAAGCAAAGACGCAUUAAUGUGGCGUGGAUUAAUGGUUUAGUUCUUAACCAUUUAAUUGAACGUGCAAAAGAAGAAUGCUGAGUUGGAUGAAGAAAACAAGAAAACAAGUUUAAAGCUUCUACAGCGAGAACAUGACAAAGUGGGCAAAACACAAAUUUCUAGCUCAACAUUGUUGUAACAAAACCUUUAAACUAGCUUUAUUUAAUGGUAUUCCUUCUGUUAAGUUUUAGGGGACUUAUGCCUUAACUAGCUGUUUUUUUGUACAGGGUUAUCAUGUAGCUUUUGCGGAAAUACAAUCCCCACGUUUUCCGCAAAUCCUUAGACUUACAAGUCACAGGCAUAAGAGACUUACAUUGCACUUUUUAAUUGGUUGAUCAUUACAGGAAAAUCAUUCAAGUCUGUUUCGUGUAUAUAUUGAAUGGAGUGUCAGGGCUGGAAAUUUAAGAAAUAUUGAUUCUGUUCGAGUAUCGGUCCCCUGCCACAUUAAAAUAUGUUGAUUCAAAGAAAUGGGAAUAUAAAACCAUCACUAGAUUUUGAUGAUAAAGAUUAUGACAAUGUUCCUUUUACACCGAAGGAGCUCAAAGGGACAUCUCUGGAUUUUGAAAUCAAAUUCAUAUUUAUUAUCACCCAUCCUGAGUUGGAGCCUUUGUGAUUGAAAUGUUAGAAUUUUUGCAUAUCUCAGUUUGUGGUGAUGUUCACUGGCGGCGGUGGCAAAGUAAAGGUUGAUCCAAAGUUGUAUUCAGUUAAAUUAAACUAACAUGGAGAAGAAUUUAAAUGGAGAAGAAUUUAAAUAGAAGAAUAAUAGUGAUACACAAGAGUUCCAACUGCGUUGUGUUGAGGAUGGAGAGAUGUUCGGAAGAGUUCUAACUGUUUUCUUUUGAUAAUGGAAAACACAAGUCUCGCAUAGAAGAUAUAAAACUGAAAAGAUA